Long non-coding RNA from Podarcis raffonei (Aeolian wall lizard), 1206 nucleotides. RefSeq lists it as uncharacterized. The transcript is spliced from 2 exons. Lineage: Eukaryota; Metazoa; Chordata; Lepidosauria; Squamata; Lacertidae. The record is from RefSeq and is a predicted model, not a curated record.
GUCGUCGCCUGAGGAGGACUUCGCGCGAGAACGCGCGGCGGCUUCCCUCUUUCCCCCCUCCCCCUUUACUCCGUUCACCGCCCCGCCCCUCGCCCAGCUCGCAACCUGCGCGCGCAAUAGGCGCGAGCGCCACUUUCUCUGAAGCGCGGCCGUUCUGUUCCUUUCCCUCCACCCUCGAACGCUGGCUGGCUGGCUGGCUCGGACGGCGACGCGUGCGUGGUAGGAAUCAACGUCUCCGCGCUCGCGCGCUCUGCUCUCACCGCCUCAGAUUCCCAGGGCAGGAGAUGUACAAGAGGACAGAGGCUUAAUUGAAACAUAAUAUAACACAAAGCAAUUACAAAGACGGCCAAGGGAUUAUAGAAAUUAAAAAUGACUGGGUAAAUAAAAAUAUGCCUUAACCCAGUGCUGAAAAGAUGGUAAAGUAGGCACCAAAUCUGGAGAAACAUGAUCAGUCCCAAAAGGAGGUAAGGUCCACAGCUUAUAUGCAGGUUUCAUUUAAGCACCACUGGCUUAACAUGUGUACUGCAUUGGCUGCUGGUUUUUUUAAUUGAUUAGGUUAGGAACAUCUACAGACUUGGUACUUUACAAGCAGGUUUGACAGGUCUCUGCUGCCCCAAAGGACUUACAGUCUAGAAAAGAAUGAAAAAAAACAGAGGCAAACAACAUAAGGAAAACAACAGAGGAAGGUGGGGUGAUGAAGGGGGUAGGGAAGUAAAUUAGGGGAAGAAUAUGUGAUUAUUUCAGUUCUAUGCACUUUCAGUUAGCUAUAUUAGGGUACUGGGAUUAGGAGGCUGUUCCAAAGUAGGAAAGGGCAAUCUAGGUGUUGCUGGACCCAUCAACUUCAUCAGCCUUAUCAAUGACUGCGAUGCAAAGCCAAAACUCAAAAUUCAGUUCAAUCGAGCAUUUUUUCCUGUUGGAUUCUGUGUGUGUUUCUCCCUGAUCUACUUGCUAUAGGAUGUUGCAUGUUGUUUAAGCAAUCUUGUUAAAUUUAUAGUAUUGAAAUAUGGGGGUGGGGGUUUGUAUGUUGUUAUAUUUUUGUUCUGCUGUGCUAUUAUGAAAUUUGUUACUUCUUUUUUUUGCUUUGCAAAAAACUGAAUUUUUUUGCAUUUGUUAGAAAUGCGCACCUGUUUCUUUGUUGUAAGUGGUUUUGAGCAUUAUAUUUUAGUGGGAAAGUGGCAUACAAAUAAAAUAAAAAUUUAUUGAAAA